CCGGCUGCCGUAUAAAUUGCAGCACCAACAUGACUCUUUGGCACACCUUGACACGCAUGUAAGCCAGCUUCACGACCAACAAGUGCUUGCAAGGACUCAACAACAUUCACCGCCCACUGCCCCCCGCCGCCAGUCGUACUACUUGCUUUGGUGCACCUAUCCCGCACGCCAUGCACGCCAUGCUACUGCCCAACAGACCAAGGGCAUCCUGCAAUGUAAUUUACUGUCCAAGCACUAUCCCUCUACUUCCCCUACUUCUUGGCGUUCUCCAGCUGCUUCUCUGUGCAGCCAAAGCUAGCCGGUGUCUUGCCCUCCCAGCUUGUGUAGACGCCCGACAGCGGCCAGUUCACCUGCGGUGUUUAUAGAAUGUAAUAAAUAGUGUGCAUGAUGGGGUACGUUUCAUGCUCAGGCAGUAGGCGCCUCUCCAGCUGGGCGGGCCUGGGCGGCAGCUGGGCGGCCCUGGGCGGCAGCUGGGUGGGCCUGGGCGGCGGCUGGGCGGCAGCUGGGCGGGCCUGGGUGGCAUCUGGGUGGGGGCUGAGCGCGCCUGGGCAGAGCCUGGACAAGGGCUGGGCAGGAGCCACAUAACAAUGGGUUACCAGCAGGAAGUUACCAUUUUAUCAAAGUUCACCGAGGUUUUACCAAUCAGCCAACCCAUACCAAUCCUGACCAAUGCUAACCGACGCUGACCAUCGGUUUAUCAGGGUGACCGCCCGGUAACCGCCCCCAUACCGAUCGGUUUAAUAGGGGCUGGAACGGUAGGGACACGCUUCACCAAACCGGGAGCCCUCCGCCCAAGGGCAUGUCAAUGCCUGCCGCAGUUCGUGCAGGCCGUCAUGUGCUGCAACCAGCUGGCCCACACACGCCAGUCCCGGCAGAGCAAACAAAUCCGCGAAAGCCACUUCCCACGUGCGGUUGUCCUCACGCAGCGCCGGGUUAGCCCACAACGGCACAUGACUCACCCACGCGCCCGGCUCGGGCGGCGCCACAAGAGUCACCGCGGGCAAUUUAGUCAUGGCUUUCAGCAGGCGCACAAACGGCUUGCCCGCUGGGGUGAGCGGCUUAUUUAGCACACGGUCCAACAAACACAUGGGCAUUGCCGCCGGGUGCACCUGGCGCAGCCACGACCCGGGUCCACGGGGGCACGUACGGCAGCAGACCACACACACCCAACACACACUGUACCGUGAGGCCGGCUUGCCGCGCUUUCACAUGCGGCACCAGCGGUAACAGGCCCGUCACCCCCACCGCCGGAGGCAGUUGCAUAAGUUCAAUGGAGAGGCCAGGCGGGCGUGCCUGGGGGUUGGCAUCAAACUGGGCCGCCGACAGCCGGAUAAGAUGCAUGUGCCUGCCGCUCAGAUGGCUGGGGCCACACAAGCAGGCCAUAUGCCCGGAAACACACUUCCCCACAGCACACGCACACAGGACACACCCCCCUGGGCUGCCCGCUUGGAGACACGCACAGCUGGGCGUCACACACGUGUUCGCUCAAGCGUGCACACACACACACACACACACACACACACACACACACACACACACAAAUGCACAAGCUCAUGCUCACGCACGCACAUACACGCACGUCAAUACACACACACCUCGUGUACACACAAGCACACGCAUGCACAAGCCCACACAUGCACACACACACACACACACACACACACACACGUCUGAGGUUGUUACACCGGUAGUAAUUCCGCAAGGAUUACUGGCGCGGUGAAGGGUCGGAGUGCGUUGCCCUGUGGACUCCAGAGCUGUUUGCGCUCUGCCGGGGAAACGCCAGGUCACGGCAGCCCUCGAUUGAGAGCCCUGUCGUUGGUUAUACCAGAUACACGAUUCACGUGAUCUGGCAGAAUAACCGUGGAAACCGUAGUCACACACACACACACACACACACACACACACACACACACACACACACACACACACACACACACACACACACACACACACACACACACACACACACACACACACACACACACACACACACACACACACACACACUACACACACACACACACACACACAAGCCCACACAUACACACACACACACACACACACACAUGCUGCUGAUGGCCUUGUUGCUUGUCGCCCCUGACUCCCAACUCCCAGCGUCGCCCCUGACACCCAACUCAGCCCCCGACUCGGACGACCGCGUGUGCAAGGACACGCCUGGGAGUGGAAUGCGUCUUUGAUGUCUACUAUCAAUAGCUACUCGGCAGUGCGUGAGGUGUGUGCAUCAGGGGAUAAAGAAUUCGAGGUGUACGCGACGAACGGAAAACCCACUGGAACCGGUGGUUUUUUUUCGUUUCGCACACAAGCCGUAUUUCUCAAUUCUUAUUGUCCGUACCACUUUAUAGAGCCAAACUCUAUUCGUUUGUCAUCAACAAUGCAUCCAACGCCGUUCCAGAAGGGCCUGCCGCUGCCGCUGCCGCCCCUCCUGCACCUGUGGUCGUUCAUGUUCACUACGUUGCCGUUGCUAUCGGCAAACUCAAUGGAGCCACCGCCAGACGCGUGGAAGCUGUCUCUGCCGGCAUAGUAGUAGUAGAUAGGACUUGGAUAUGGCUCUGCCCUGUGCAAGGAUCUUGUUGAUUUGGUAAUAACACACAACUAAUUAAUACAGUACAUAAACUGAGCAUGCUGGUGCUGUUGGACCGGCUUUUCACUGGUGUGCAUGGUGUCCGGUAAGAUUUGGCAAAUCGCGGCCUGCAAAUGUCCGGUAAGGGGCGCCGGGGACUAUUGUCCGGUAGAUUUCAGGCAUUGUCCGGUAGGGUACGGCACUUGUCCGGUAAGUCUGGUGACUUGUCCGGUAGGUUUUGGAUUGUCCGGUAACUUUGUUUUCCCAGAGUGGCGGUCACCCUGAUAAACCGAUGGUCAGCGUCGGUCAGCAUCGGUUACGAUUGGUAGGGGUUGGCCGCACGGUAAAACAUCGGUUAACAUUGGUAAAAUGGUCACUUCCCGGUAACCCAUUGGUAUUUGGCUCCUCCCCAGCCCUUGUCCAGGCCCUUGUCCAGGCUCUGCCCAGGCUCGCUCAGCCCCCACCCAGAUGCCACCCAGGCCUGCCCAGCUGCCACCCAGGGCCGCCCAGCUGCCGCCCAGGCCCGCCCAGCUGCCACCCAGGCCCGCCCAGCUGCCACCCAGGCCCACCCAGCCUGGCCAGGGCCUGCCCCCAGCGUACACGCAUGCAGCUCUGGCCGCGGCCGUGCCUUUGGCCAUGGCUGGGGGUGUUAGGCUAGCAGACCACGUUGCGAACAUAGGGGCGAGAAGUCUGGGGCGAGGCCUGUGGGAUCCUUGGGGCGGCCUCGCACCUGCCGCGCCCCUGAACCCCCCAGUAACCCUCAGGCAGUCGCUGACGGCCGAGCUGAGACCGCUGCGCUUCCUGAGCUGUAAACUUACUUUAGUAAUGUAGUUGCAUGUAGUGUAUGCUUCCUGAGCAUAGGAAUGCAGCUGAGCAGCUGGCUGUGUCGACCGAGGCAGCAAUGAACCCCCCCGGUCACUGCUGUCACUGGCGCAUGGCUUUAGCGGUUGAUAUCAAUAGUCUGUUAUGCACUCAGAGUACUUGUCGCAGAAGUUCGGGCUUUUCGGGUGUCUUAGGGAAAGUGGUCGCGCGUCCCCCGGCCGGGGGACGCAAACCCAUGUUUGUCAACUCGUCGAGUUGUGUAUUUGAACUUGGCCACAAAGUGCAUAUUGACUAAUGCCUAUAAAAAUCAAUCAACCCCAACACCCAAAGCCGUCCAGGAGUGCAGAGUACUUUACAUCACCGGGUUGAGGCCGUUGUCUCCAUCUUACAUCCUUCCUAGUACACUAAGUUAGAAGCUGAUAUCUUUCCCAGUACAAAACACAACGUUGCCCGGGGCCCUGGCUUGGUGGUGCAUGCAAUGUCAGUAAGCGAGUGGCCGCAUAUGGGGGAUCUGUGCAUGUUGACCAUUCUGUAAAAAAAAAC
RNAcentral lists this long non-coding RNA (3946 nucleotides) under Chlamydomonas reinhardtii. Its description in RNAcentral is "long non-coding RNA (CREI_LNC001030)". Lineage: Eukaryota; Viridiplantae; Chlorophyta; Chlorophyceae; Chlamydomonadales; Chlamydomonadaceae. The record is from RNAcentral.